AAGUUACUUCGGUACAUCGGUGACAGGUGCUGCAUGGCUGUCGUCAGCUCGUGUCGUGAGAUGUUGGGUUAAGUCCCGCAACGAGCGCAACCCUUGUCUUUAAUUGCCAGCAUUCAGUUGGGCACUUUAAAGAGACUGCCGGUGUUAAGCCGGAGGAAGGUGGGGAUGACGUCAAGUCCUCAUGGCCUUUAUGCCCAGGGCUACACACGUGCUACAAUGGGUGGUACAAAGAGAUGCCAACUCGCGAGAGCGCGCCAAUCUCAGAAAGCCAUCCUCAGUUCGGAUUGGAGUCUGCAACUCGACUCCAUGAAGUUGGAAUCGCUAGUAAUCGCGGAUCAGCACGCCGCGGUGAAUACGUUCCCGGGCCUU
Molecule: ribosomal RNA, 369 nt
Filed under: uncultured Smithella sp.
Lineage: Bacteria; Pseudomonadati; Thermodesulfobacteriota; Syntrophia; Syntrophales; Smithellaceae
Description: bacterial SSU rRNA
Rfam family: Bacterial small subunit ribosomal RNA
Source: RNAcentral